RNAcentral lists this small RNA (304 nucleotides) under Pongo abelii (Sumatran orangutan). Its description in RNAcentral is "processed transcript". The record is from RNAcentral. Lineage: Eukaryota; Metazoa; Chordata; Mammalia; Primates; Hominidae.
AUUCCGGAGUCGGAGAGCUGUGAAAGCGGCCCCCGAGGCGGAGCCUCCCUCCCGCCCCAAGUCCCGCUGCCCCCGACCUGGGGGAGAGGGGCGGGCGCCGCGCUGCCUUCCCUCCGCGCCUGGGCCGCGUGGCUUGCGGCUUAUUUUCCCAGCUGGCAAGCUUCGCGCUGCAGACAAGGGAAUGCCUGUGGUCCUGCGUGUUCCGAAGUUCAGGGGCCCCCUGAUCCCGCUGAGCCCCCUCCAGGAGCGGAAGGGUUAAGAAUGAUGAAGGGAAAUGUCAAAGAAACUAGAACACCUGAGCCUC